RNAcentral lists this ribosomal RNA (459 nucleotides) under uncultured bacterium. RNAcentral's name for it is "partial 16S ribosomal RNA". It matches the Rfam family "Bacterial small subunit ribosomal RNA", at positions 338 to 795 of the family's 1533-position model. The record is from RNAcentral.
CCUACGGGCGACAGCAGUGAGGAAUAUUGGUCAAUGGCCGGAAGGCUGAACCAGCCAAGCCGCGUGAAGGACGAAGGUGCCAAGCACUGUAAACUUCUUUUGUCAAGGGACAAAAUCAGGCUCGAGAGCCUGACCGAGGGUACUUGAAGAAAAAGCAUCGGCUAACUCCGUGCCAGCAGCCGCGGUAAUAGGGGGGAUGCGAGCGUUAUCCGGAUUUAUGGGGUUAAAGGGGUGCGUAGGGGGACUGUUAAGUCAGCGGUAAAAGCCCGGGGCUCAACGCCGCGGGGCCGUUGAAACGGGCAGUCUUGAGAGGUCGAGAGGAAUGCGGAAUGCGCAGUGUAGCGGUGAAAUGCUUAGAUAUAGCGCGGAACUCCAGUUGCGAAGGCGGCAUACCGGCGGCGAUCUGACGCUGAGGCACGAAAGCGUGGGUAUCGAACAGGAUUAGAUACCCGUGUAGUC